RNAcentral lists this ribosomal RNA (1243 nucleotides) under metagenome. RNAcentral describes it as "bacterial LSU rRNA". It matches the Rfam family "Bacterial large subunit ribosomal RNA", at positions 1564 to 2817 of the family's 2925-position model. The record is from RNAcentral.
UGAAUACGAGACGCUAAGGCGUCGAAGUAGUGUAUGUCAUACUUCCAAGAAAAGCUUGCACUGUCAUAGAUAAAAAACGCCUGUACCAUAACCGACACAGGUGGGUAGGUAGAGUAUACUAAGGGGCGCGAGAUAACUCUCUCUAAGGAACUCGGCAAAAUAACUCCGUAACUUCGGGAGAAGGAGUGCCUUAUUCGUAAGGUUGCAAUAACAAGAUCCAAGCAACUGUUUAUCAAAAACACAGGUCUCCGCUAAGUCGUAAGACGAUGUAUGGGGGCUGACGCCUGCCCAGUGCCAGAAGGUUAAAGAAGUUGGUUAGCAAUUGCGAAGCUGAUAACUGAAGCCCUGGUGAACGGCGGCCGUAACGAUAACGGUCCUAAGGUAGCGAAAUUCCUUGUCGGGUAAGUUCCGACCCGCACGAAAGGCGUAAUGAUUUGGAUACUGUCUCGGAGAGGGGCUCGGUGAAAUAGACUUGUCUGUGAAGAUGCGGACUACCUGCACCAGGACAGAAAGACCCUAUGAAGCUUACUGUAACUUGAAAUUGAAAUUGGACUUUAUUCGCGCAGCAUAGGUGGGAGGCGUUGAUUAUAAUCUUGCGGGAUUAUUGGAGCCAUCAGUGAGAUACCACUCUUGUAAUGUUAGAUUUCUAACUUUGAAUCAUUAUCUGGUCAAAGAACAGUUUCAGGCGUGCAGUUUGACCGGGGCGGUCGCCUCCUAAACGGUAACGGAGGCGUACAAAGGUUUCCUCUGAACGGUUAGAAAUCGUAUCUAGAGUGUAAAGGCAUAAGGAAGCUUGGCUGUGAGACCUACAAGUCGAGCAGGGACGAGAGUCGGUCUUAGUGAUCUGACGGUACUGAGUGGAAAGGCCGUCACUCAACGGAUAAAAGUUACUCUAAGGAUAACAGGCUGAUCUCCCCCAAGAGUUCACAUCGACGGGGAGGUUUGGCACCUCGAUGUCGGCUCAUCGCAUCCUGGGGCGGUAGUACGUCCCAAGGGUUGGGCUGUUCGCCCAUGAAAGCGGUACGCGAGCUGGGUUCAGAACGUCGUGAGACAGUUCGGUCCAUAUCCGGUGUAGGCGUUAGAAUAUUGAGAGGAGCCUUCUUUAGUACGAGAGGACCGAGAAGGACAUACCUCUGGUGUACCAGUUAUCGUGCCAACGGUAAACGCUGGGUAGCUAUGUAUGGAGUGGAUAACCGCUGAAAGCAUCUAAGUGGGAAGCCCACCUCAAGAUAAGUAUUCUCAC